Molecule: ribosomal RNA, 253 nt
Filed under: uncultured bacterium
Lineage: Bacteria
Description: partial 16S ribosomal RNA
Rfam family: Bacterial small subunit ribosomal RNA
Source: RNAcentral
UACGAAGGGGGCUAGCGUUGCUCGGAAUCACUGGGCGUAAAGGGUGCGUAGGCGGGUCUUUAAGUCAGGGGGGAAAUCCUGGAGCUCAACUCCAGAACUGCCUUUGAUACUGAAGAUCUUGAGUUCGGGAGAGGUGAGUGGAACUGCGAGUGUAGAGGUGAAAUUCGUAGAUAUUCGCAAGAACACCGGUGGCGAAGGCGGCUCACUGGCCCGAUACUGACGCUGAGGCACGAAAGCGUGGGGAGCAAACAGG